Plectropomus leopardus (leopard coralgrouper) is the source of this 601-nucleotide non-coding RNA. Lineage: Eukaryota; Metazoa; Chordata; Actinopteri; Perciformes; Serranidae. The record is from RefSeq and is a predicted model, not a curated record.
GAACACCACGGCACCAAGUGUCACCUGUAAGGUCAGCCUUGCAAACAACAUCACAACAGAGGAGACAGUGACUCUGAAUGUGACCUGUCCUGUGCAGCAUUGUGAACCAUACAGUGCAGUGCUUCCCUGGGCUGUUGCUGGUGUAUCACUAAGUGUGAAUGUCCUCUGCACAAUCUUCAUGGUGUUCCUUUGGAAAGCAAGAAAAAAUGUGAAAACAAAUCAAGAGGACAGAACUUACAUGUCUCUGCAGAAAAAAGACAGAUCAUCAGAGUAUGAUGUUAUCGGGCAAGCUUUGAAGUAAUAACUGUCAGCUUCCACAAUGUCUUUACAAUCUGAUAACAUGACUUUCAGACAGCUUCAAGCAGGAUUUCUUACUCUGGAAUUAAUAAAUUGUGAAGAAAAAAAACAUGUUUAAACUUCUGUACCAUUGUUUACUUUGGAGAAAUGUAUAAAUGCACCAGCAGUUAAUCAUUAACAAAAUGAGUAAAUAUUAACUGUCAGGGUUUUUUAACAGCACAUUCCAAAGCAGUUUGGAUACUGUACUCUAGAUGCAACCUCAUCCAGACCGAUCCCUAAUGUUAUGUGUUUAUAUUUUAUGAUC